This 90-nucleotide transfer RNA is filed under the name Iodidimonas muriae. RNAcentral's name for it is "tRNA-Ser". It matches the Rfam family "tRNA". Rfam says of the family: Transfer RNA (tRNA) molecules are approximately 80 nucleotides in length. Their secondary structure includes four short double-helical elements and three loops (D, anti-codon, and T loops). The record is from RNAcentral. RNAcentral also lists the same sequence under 3 other names. Lineage: Bacteria; Pseudomonadati; Pseudomonadota; Alphaproteobacteria; Iodidimonadales; Iodidimonadaceae.
GGAGAGGUGCCGGAGUGGUCGAACGGGGCGGUCUCGAAAACCGUUGUGCCCGCAAGGGUACCCAGGGUUCGAAUCCCUGUCUCUCCGCCA